AUGACCUACGGGAGGCAGCAGUGGGGGAUAUUGCACAAUGGGGGGAACCCUGAUGCAGCGACGCCGCGUGGGUGAAGAAGUCAUUCGUGACGUAAAGCCCUAUCAGCAGGGAAGAAAAUGACGGUACCUGACUAAGAAGCCCCGGCUAACUACGUGCCAGCAGCCGCGGUAAUACGUAGGGGGCAAGCGUUAUCCGGAUUUACUGGGUGUAAAGGGAGCGUAGACGGCCAUUCAAGCCAGAUGUGAAAGCCCGGGGCUCAACCCCGGGACUGCAUUUGGAACUGUGUGGCUAGAGUGUCGGGGAG
RNAcentral lists this ribosomal RNA (305 nucleotides) under uncultured bacterium. RNAcentral's name for it is "bacterial SSU rRNA". It matches the Rfam family "Bacterial small subunit ribosomal RNA", at positions 332 to 656 of the family's 1533-position model. The record is from RNAcentral.